RNAcentral lists this ribosomal RNA (255 nucleotides) under uncultured bacterium. Its description in RNAcentral is "partial 16S ribosomal RNA". It matches the Rfam family "Bacterial small subunit ribosomal RNA", at positions 524 to 776 of the family's 1533-position model. The record is from RNAcentral.
UACGAGUGCCUCGAGCGUUAUCCGGAAUUAUUGGGCGUAAAGGGUGUGUAGGCGGUUCUGUUAGUCUUUUGUAAAAUUUCCCGGCUCAACCGGGAGCGCGCAGAAGAAACGGCAGAACUACAGAGGAUGGAAGGGGUCUGCGGAACUCAUGGUGUAGCGGUGAAAUGCGUUGAUAUCAUGGGGAACACCAAAAGCGAAGGCAGCAGACUGGUCCACUCCUGACGCUGAAACACGAAAGCGUGGGUCGCGAAUGGG